Ostrea edulis (European flat oyster) is the source of this 1024-nucleotide long non-coding RNA. RefSeq lists it as uncharacterized. Lineage: Eukaryota; Metazoa; Mollusca; Bivalvia; Ostreida; Ostreidae. The transcript has 2 exons. The record is from RefSeq and is a predicted model, not a curated record.
GGUCACCCAGACGCUUGUUUUUAUCAGAUGUGCGUACGAACGAGUCGAUACAUCUUGAUGAUCAAGACUAUUCAAAUUGACGCGCGCUAUCAAUUCGAAGUAGAGAAAAUUUCAAGAGAAGGCCAGCAUGUCGAGAAGAAGAGUUACUCCCAGGGAGAUUUGCCGACGAAAACAGUAAGUUCAUCAUAGAUAAGAACAUGCAUUGGUUGCAUUUGUUAGUGUAAAAAUACAUUUUAAAUUUGACAUAACCAUCGUGUUAUUGGACAUUCACUUUACAUGAUACGACGUACUCUGCUUUAUGCAAAACCAUAGGCCUAUGUAUUUUUAUUCUGUAUAUAUCUGUGUGUAUACGUCUGAAAAGUUCAAAACUAUUGAAAUGGUUUUGUUUUCUAAGGGUGGUAUGUGAUACGAUUCUCGCAGACAAAGAACUCAGCCCCCCUGGUAUAGGCCUAGUAAAAUCAAAUCAAUUAGAGGAGACAGGGGAAACGAGGGAGGAGAAAGUCCAAGCACCUUAGACAGAUGGUGUCAUGUAUCAUAUGGAGAUAUUGAAUUUGAAAGUGCAUUUGCCAUUACAACAUUGGGGAUGGACAACAUAGACAUUCAUGAUUGUGAAAGCCAUAAACACAAAGACUGGAACCAUGUACUGUGCUGUUAAAGAAAAUAGACUAUCUAAGUAGACGUCAAGUGCAUUAUUUCAUUUAAUUCAAAAGUCAACAUUGUGUAAUUUUUUUCGUGGAUGACAUUGAUUAUUUGAUCUGAAUUUGCAAAAAUUGGAUUGAGUGGGAAUAAGUGCUGUGAUUUCAAAUGAAAACCAUGAUAGACACAUUGCUUUUUCAUCCAGAUGUAAGUAAAAUCAUAAAUGCAUAUUGAAAAUUCAGUUUAUUGGAAAUGACUGUGACUUGUGGGUAAUUGGUUUUUUUUUAUUUAUAAUUAAAAAACUUAUAUUAUUGGGAACAGUAUAAAUCUAUGGCUAAUUCUCUAAAUUUGAAGUGUUUUUUAUGCAUAUUAAAUCAAUAUAAAUUGA